This 253-nucleotide ribosomal RNA is filed under the name uncultured bacterium. Its description in RNAcentral is "partial 16S ribosomal RNA". It matches the Rfam family "Archaeal small subunit ribosomal RNA", at positions 474 to 727 of the family's 1478-position model. The record is from RNAcentral.
UACCAGCACCCCGAGUGGUCGGGACGAUUAUUGGGCCUAAAGCAUCCGUAGCCGGCCUUACAAGUCCUCCGUUAAAUCCAGCUGCUUAACAGAUGGGCUGCGGAGGAUACUAUAAGACUAGGAGGCAGGAGAGGCAAGCGGUACUCAGUGGGUAGGGGUAAAAUCCGUUGAUCCAUUGAAGACCACCAGUGGCGAAGGCGGCCGACUGGUCCGGUUCUGACGCUGAGGCGCGAAAGCGUGGGGAGCAAACAGG